GGAGAGGGAGAGAGACGAGGAUGCACCGGGGCCGGUUCACUUUAAGUUCGAAUACCAAGCCUGUCUAUAAACAGUUUGGUGUUCUACCUUACAGUGAGUCGACCGUGGUAUCGUCGACGUUCCAACA
Non-coding RNA from Apis mellifera (honey bee), 127 nucleotides. RefSeq annotates it as microRNA 971. The transcript has a single exon. The record is from RefSeq and is marked provisional. Lineage: Eukaryota; Metazoa; Arthropoda; Insecta; Hymenoptera; Apidae.